AAUGAACGCUGGCGGUAGGCUUAACACAUGCAAGUCGGACGGUAGCAGGAAAUAAGUUUACUUAUUUUGCUGACGAGUGGCGGACGGGUGAGUAACGCGUGGGAAUCUACCCUAUAGUUGGGGACAACGUAUGGAAACGUACGCUAAUACCGAAUACGCUCUACGGAGUAAAGGAGCCCUCUUCAUGAAAGGUUUCGCUAUAGGAUGAGCCCGCGUAAGAUUAGCUAGUUGGUGAGGUAAUGGCUCACCAAGGCGACGAUCUUUAGCUGGUUUGAGAGGGUGAUCAGCCACACUGGGACUGAGACACGGCCCAGACUCCUACGGGAGGCAGCAGUGGGGAAUAUUGGACAAUGGACGAAAGUCUGAUCCAGCCAUACCGCGUGUGUGAAGAAGGCCUUCGGGUUGUAAAGCACUUUCAGUUGGGAGGAAGAUUAAGUAGUUAAUACCUGCUUAGUUUGACGUUACCUUCAGAAGAAGCACCGGCUAACUCUGU
RNAcentral lists this ribosomal RNA (493 nucleotides) under uncultured Gammaproteobacteria bacterium. RNAcentral describes it as "bacterial SSU rRNA". It matches the Rfam family "Bacterial small subunit ribosomal RNA", at positions 29 to 506 of the family's 1533-position model. The record is from RNAcentral. Lineage: Bacteria; Pseudomonadati; Pseudomonadota; Gammaproteobacteria.